GAUGAACGCUGACAGAAUGCUUAACACAUGCAAGUCUUUGGCGAAGCUGUGCUUGCACAGCCUAGCCAAGGCGGACGGGUGAGUAACGCGUAAGGAACUUGCCCUGCAGUCAGGGAUAACAGACGGAAACGACUGAUAAGACCUGGUAAAGUCAGGCGGACUCAUGUCCAGCCUGAUGAAAAGAGAUGCUGCAGGAGAGCCUUGCGUCCUAUUAGCUUGUUGGUGGGGUAACGGCCCACCAAGGCGAUGAUAGGUAGCCGGCCUGAGAGGGUGGACGGCCAAAAGGGGACUGAUAUCCGGCCCUUACUCCUACGGGAGGCAGCAGGGGGGAAUUUUGGAAAAUGGGGGCAACCCUGAUCCAGCAAUUCUGUGUGCACGAUGAAGGUUUUCGGAUUGUAAAGUGCUUUCAGCAGGGAAAAAAAAAGGGCGGUACCUGCAGAAGAAGCGACGGCUAAAUACGU
This 461-nucleotide ribosomal RNA is filed under the name uncultured bacterium. RNAcentral describes it as "partial 16S ribosomal RNA". It matches the Rfam family "Bacterial small subunit ribosomal RNA", at positions 28 to 506 of the family's 1533-position model. The record is from RNAcentral.